GACGAACGCUGGCGGCGUGCUUAACACAUGCAAGUCGAGCGGUAAGGCCCUUUCGGGGGUACGACGAGCGGCGAACGGGUGAGUAACACGUGGGUGACCUGCCUUUAGUCUCUGGGAUAAGCCUGGGAAACUGGGUCGUAAUACCGGAUAUGACCCUAUGGCGCAUGUUGUGGGGUGGAAAGCCUUGUGCGGCUAGGGAUGGGCCCGCGGCCUAUCAGCUUGUUGGUGGGGUGAUGGCCACCAAGGCGACGACGGGUAGCCGGCCUGAGAGGGCGACCGGCCACACUGGGACUGAGACACGGCCCAGACUCCUACGGGAGGCAGCAGUGCGGAAUCUUGCGCAAUGGGCGAAAGCCUGACGCAGCGACGCCGCGUGAGGGAUGACGGCCUGGUUGUAA
Molecule: ribosomal RNA, 398 nt
Filed under: uncultured bacterium
Lineage: Bacteria
Description: bacterial SSU rRNA
Rfam family: Bacterial small subunit ribosomal RNA
Source: RNAcentral